RNAcentral lists this long non-coding RNA (5676 nucleotides) under Canis lupus familiaris (dog). Its description in RNAcentral is "lncRNA (ENSCAFG00000054210.1)". The record is from RNAcentral. Lineage: Eukaryota; Metazoa; Chordata; Mammalia; Carnivora; Canidae.
UUUUUUUUUUUUUUUUUUUCAGAAAUAGCACAUCGGCAUUGAAGUGUCAAAGUAAACAGGAAAAGCAAAUUUCAUUUUGACUGUGACAAUAAAAAAAGAUGAAUAAAUAAGUAAGUGCAGCUUUUUUCUACAAAGUGAAAAAAAAAAAAAAACAGCCACUGCAUGUGUGAGUAAAAAUCUGCUUUUUGUUGUUGCGAAAUAAGAAAAUGGUGAAACUCAAGGUAAAAAAAAUCAUAUUUGAAAACAGAUUGCCAGAAAGAGGGAAAAUAAAGUUGCAUGCUCACCUUUGAAAGGCACUAGAAAACAAAAAUGUUGAGUGCUUUGAGUGCUUACAGAAUUGUAAGACACCAAAAAAAUUAAAUUAACAGCAAAGUAGACCAACAAAGUGGUUUGAGGAGUCAGGUAUAGUAAAUAUAUUUACUGGAUAUAGACAAUUGUUAAUCAGCUGAAGGACUUUAGCCAUAAUUAUAAUGUAGAACUGUAACUGUGGCCUUGUCCCCACUAGUCAGAAUCACCAAGGCAGUACCCCAACUUCGUUAAUACAUUCAUGGACAAAUUACUAUCUACAAUUGCUUUUCUCUUGCACGGAGAUUCAACGAUUGAAACAUUACUGAAUCAUUUCCCAUGAAACAUCUCCUAUUACCUGACUGGCAUUGGCUAUGGUUAGGGUGGUCUAAUUCCACAUUAAUGAUCACACACCUCUACAGAUUACCACGUCCUGGUCACCUUUCUAUUCUCUGCAAUCUUUCCAUGAUUCCACUUGUGAUGACUGAACCCUUAUUUUUAUUCUUUUAUAAUCUUUUGUUUAAAUAAGUUCAAUGAAGAUCAGGUUUCUAUUUUUAGAGCACAUUCAACAUUAUUAUACUUGCUCAUCAUGUGAAUUAAACAUGUUCAAAUACAUAUCUGGAAGGCAUGCCAUUUAUCUAGCCCAUCCCUUUGAGGAACCAUAAUGCUUACAGUUAGAGUUUACCUGGGUCAGAUAUGCAUCCUAUAAAAACAUUUCCCAAAGUAUAUAUACAAAAGCACUUAUUCCUGGAAGCUUUUAGGAAAAACACUUUUGGUUUAUUAAGUAUGGGUGCUUCUACAUAUUUACUUCUAUUUUAACAUUCUCCAUACCUAUUAAAUGCUCUGAAACAUCAUUCACUAACACUAUAAAUAAAUUAUUUUUACUAUAUAUUAACCACACCUAAUUCAUUUAUUUCAUUAUCAGGGUUCUUUCAAUUUACUUUCCUGGGACAUUUCUGUUCAUAUUCCAUUACAUAUUGCUACUUAGACUUCUCUGUCUCUUGUCUGUAAUUUUACAAAAUUCAGACUUUAAACACUAAGUUUCAGUUACAGUUUCUAUGGCUUUUGCAACCUCUCUUAAUUAAUCAGUGCAAAGUUUCACUCUACCCCUUCCAUAUGCUGUAAAAUGCUGGAGAGCAGAUAUUAAUUAAUUGAAAAUGUUGUUCUUCUGUUUUUAAAGACAGAAUUUUGAUCUGCUCAUUUCUAAAUAUUCUGAGUUUGUCUGCAUCACUGCAGCAAUUGAAAGGCAUUUUGUAACCUGCUUCUUUGGGGAGAAAGAUUAACUUUGAAAUUGAAGCCAAAAACAGCUCCAUAGAUAAUAGAAACACCAUGAUAAUUUCUUUGCUACAUUAUAAAUCAUCUCCUUUCCUUACCAAUAGAAAAAAUCACAACUUUUCUUCCUUCCUUCCUUCCUUCCUUCCUUCCUUCCUUCCUUCCUUCCUUCCUUCCUUCCUUCCUUCCUUCCUUCCUUCCUUCCUCUCUUUAACCUCCUUCACCCUCCAUUGUUUCAGCUAUGCACCACCAUAUAUAAACUGCUCAUACUUGUCACUACAUACUUCAGCAUCACUGAAGUGAACAUCUAUUCCUUCAGAGUCACUCCCUAUGAAAAAAAAGAUAAAAACCAUAUUAAACUGCAUAUAUCUAAUCAUCUCAAAUCCUAGGUCCAUGUUUUGGGUAGAGAGAACAUAAAAUUCACAAUAUGCUUCAAUGAAUCAUCAUUUUAGGCAGCAUAUAACUAAGUGUAUCUUUUGUUUAUGCUAAACCUGAUAAGAAAGUAAUGUUUUAGGGAAAAAGUAGAAAAGAUAACUUGUUUAUGUUUAGAAAAUAUUCCAUAAUCCAAGACAAAUCCUAGGACAACCUAGUGUGAAAUAAGUAUACCUGGUUGGGUGGUCACUCUAAUCCCAGCUGGCCAAUCAGUCAGCCAGCACACGAACACAAAGGAAAUAGAAGUAGCAGGCAUACAAUUCAUAUCAAAGGCAAAGCAGACUAAAUGUAUCCCUUCCAACUUUAAAAAAAAAAAAUCAUCCUCUUCCUAGCUCCCAGUACUUUCCUCUUUCAUGACAUUUUCUGCUUGUGAGGGAGUCUCAGAUAUUAAAUGUAAAACUAAUUAUAUUCCUGGAUAAAUGCUUUGGAUGGGGAGACAUAUAGUCACUCUUGAAACCUACUGGGAAGACUCCUGAUAGAUUUCAUGCCAAUAGAUGAGGUUACUAAGGCUCACAGCAGAAAGUACACUUUUUUGAAGUUCUUGAUAACUGCAUUCCUCUUUAUAGGUCUACUGUUGAUCUGAUGAUAACUUUUAUACCUUCUACAGCAUUGAGUUAAUAGCAUAGAGAAGAUUCUCAAUGAAAUCAGAUUGAGUAAAUCAAACCAAAACCUACUCUCAGGACUAUUUGCUAGAGAACAUCACUCCAGAAUGUUUAACCAAGAUUUCACUAUCCUUAUUAUUGGAACACAACUCUCCUUUAUCUACAAUAGCAUGUCUAUGAGAGAGAAUAUAGAGCUCUUUUAUAAGGCUAUUUUCCCCUGGUUUUCUGAAAUUUUAUUACAUAAGCCUUUUUACAUAUUUUUCUGGCACUUGGGCUUAUGAGUGCUAAAAGUCAAGGUUCCUCACAUAAUGGUUCACUUUUUAACCUAUUAAUAUUUCCAGAGUCUUCCUAGCAAUAAAUAAUAUAAUUCAUUAUCAUCCUUUUAUUGACCAGUAUUCUAGGUAGCUUAUUUAUAAUAAUUAAUUCUUAAAAUAAAAAAAAUAAACUAACAUAAAACUGUAGUCUAUCAAAUAUCCUAGAAGACUAAAACUUGCUGAAUGCAUCGACUCUGAAAGCAAUCUAAAAAUGUCACAGAAUCAGCUUUUGCCUGAACUUUACUCAAGGGAAUCAUGUAUUUAUUUCUUUGCCUUGUAUAGAACUGAAUCAAGGCAGGAGCCAAUAAAGAAUCCUCAUUACCACUGUCAUUUUGAAAUCUCAUCUUCAGUUCUGAUGGGCCAUCAAUAUCAAGAGUCUUUCUCUCAAUCUUUCAAAGGCACACAGCCCCAAUGUUAUCUGCGAAUUCAUCAUCAGUUAUAUGCUGUUAUCUCAGUAAUUGAAGAAGAGUGUAGGAUUAGAAUCUCUACAACUAAAUGAGGAAGGACAAUAUUUCUUUCAUUUCUCACUCUUAACACCUAGGUCAUAAGCGCAGAUUGAUUUGAGUUCAUCCCAUUAUCCCUAGUACCACUUUAUCCCCUCAGUGUUCCACACGUAAGGUUGCUCUAGCUAAAACUCCAUAGAGGUUUUUGGGGUGAAGAAGCUGAGAAAUGACAUCAGUUAAAAACUACAGGUAGUUACUAUGUUUUGAAAGAAAUGGAGAUAUGAGUUUAUCUUUGAGCCACAUUAUUCCUUUGCUUUGAAAAGCAGUCUUGAUGAUCCCACAUCCUUUUCCUAUUCCACUUUCCAUGUUGUUUGUCUGCUCUGAGUCACUAAAUGGUGUCCUUUACAGACUGUUUUUUCUAAUGGCUGCUCUCUGGUUGGUUUUAGCUAUUGGAAGGCACUGUCAGGAAAAGAGAGGAGAAGAAAGAAAAUGUGGUAUUUCUUCUUCCUUUUCUUCUGGCCACAGCAUUUCAUCUUGCUGUCCAGAAAUAUUCUUCCUACUUGGUAGCCCCUCAUCCACUCUCAUUUAUCAGUACCCUCCCAUAACACUAUUUUAUUCCCUUAUCCAUUAAGAUCUGAGCAGAGGGAUUAGGUAUCAGUGCCCUAAAUUGCUUGUCGCUGGGUACCUCAGCAUUCCUUGUGUGUUUGUGUUCUCCUACCCCUGAGCUAAACUCCUAGGCUGUAGGGAUUUUGGUCCUGCUCAUUACUCUACCAGCCACAGAAGAGUGCUUGGCACUUAUAGGUUCUUAAGAGAUGCCAAUGUUAAAAGUUCAGUCUAGAAUAAGAUGAGAUUUUAGGAUGUUUACUUGGGUUUACUGAGUAUGAUAUAUAUAUAUGCUCAACAACUUUCAAAACUUAAAGACUGACAUACUCUGGAAAAGCAUAGACCUUGGCAUCACACCGUCCUGAAAUUAUUGCUGUCUGUCUUUCCAUUUUACCUUUCAGGUACUGUGGCCACUUCUUGGUGCUUCAUUCAGUGCCUUCAUCUGAUAAUACUCUCAUAAGUGACAUUGUUAGUAUUACAUGAGAAAGUUCUGAAAACACUCAGCACUGUCUCUGGCACAUUGAAACUUAAUCCUACUACUCUUGCUUCAAGAUGAAUGUAUUUUCAAAACCUGGCUAGCCUUCCUUUUUCCUACAGAGUAAUAGAGCUGUUAAAAAGAACGGACUCAGAAUGGCCACUCAAUCAAAAUACCAAACGAUGAAAAGGUCAAAGCAGUAUAGCUACCUUUAUAAUUCAUAGAUUAUUGAAUGCAUUAACAUUCCAAUCCCUCAUUCUUAAAGAAAAGAUUAUAAUAAGGACCCCAAAUGGCCACACAUCAAUCCUCUCCUAUGACAAUAGUUGUUCCUUUUCUGGGAAAUGUAGAAAAGUAACCUCAGCUGACACUGAACUUCAAUUUGGAUGCCAUACUGUGCUUCUGGUUUUGAUAACAAAUGGAUCCCCAGGAGGAGAGCAAUAGGAAAUACUCUAGAUGCUCACAAAAGAAAAAGGCUUUCAAAUGUGCUGUGGGUUAAUUUCAACCAAACUGUCAGGUCUAGAAAAUUAUGUAAUUGACAUCCCUGCUUAAGAAUAUUUUGAGCUUUCGAAAGGCUAGGCUGGGCUUUUUACACAGUCUUUAAACAAGCAAUCAAGCAUCUGCUUCCCAAAUUAAAGAGCCAAAAGACUAACUGAUGUGAGUUCAUGAUUACAAUGUCAAAUAUUUCUUUGUAAUUGUUGGACCAUUUUCAACUCAAUCAAUUUUAUUUUUAUUUUUCAUGAUAUUUCCAGGGAUAACAUAGACUCAUAAUCACAGUCUGUUAGAAUUAUAAAGGGCUUUUGGGACCUCUUAACCCAUCCCUCUCAUUUUAUAGAAGAGAAAACUGAGGACCACAGAGGGUAAGUGGCUAGUCUAAGGUCACAAAGUUAGUUAGCAGCUAAGCCAGCAUAACAAUGAAACCAACUUCAAUUUCAAAUAGACAGCUAUUAAAAAUAUUUCAUACAAAUUCCACUUUCUUCUAAAUUUCUCCUUAAGAAAGGGCUUAAUAACAUCUAUGAUGAAAGCACUAUAAAAUAAGUUGCUUGGAUCAUGUGAAGACAACUCUGAACAUCAUGAGAGAUAAAUACCUUAGUAUAAUAAAAGAAUCGUGCUCUGAAAUCUGCUAAGGACAUAACCAGCACUUCCUUUCCUUCCUUCCAGCAGCCACUGGGACCAAGAUUUUGCAAGAAGGUUAGGUCACGUAUCACAAGUCAAUUAAAAAAGCAACUAGUAAAAAAAAAAAAAAAAAAAAA